This 259-nucleotide ribosomal RNA is filed under the name uncultured bacterium. RNAcentral's name for it is "partial 16S ribosomal RNA". It matches the Rfam family "Bacterial small subunit ribosomal RNA", at positions 524 to 779 of the family's 1533-position model. The record is from RNAcentral.
UACGUAGGGUGCGAGCGUUAAUCGGAAUUACUGGGCGUAAAGCGUGCGCAGGCGGCGCGUUAAGACAGGUGUGAAAGCCCCCGAGCUUAACUUGGGAAUUGCGCUUGUGACUGGCGUGCUGGAGUGUGGCAGAGGGAGGUGGAAUUCCACGUGUAGCAGUGAAAUGCGUAGAGAAUGUGGAGGAACACCGAUGGCGAAAGGGCAGCCCUCCUGGGCCAGCACUGACGCUCAUGCACGAAGCGUGGGAGCAAACAGGAAU